Non-coding RNA from Ictidomys tridecemlineatus (thirteen-lined ground squirrel), 279 nucleotides. NCBI's taxonomy places the organism in Eukaryota, Metazoa, Chordata, Mammalia, Rodentia, Sciuridae. The record is from Rfam.
GAGUCUGAACAACAUAGGGGGAUCCUCUCUCAAAUAAACAGACAUUCGGCUGAUCUGGCUGGCUAGGCCGAUGUCCCCUUCCUUCCUUACCGCUCCUUGUGCGUCCCUCCCAAAGCUGCAUGCUAUGUCAAAGAGAACGACCUUCCCGGAUAGAGGAGGCCCAUUCUUUGGUAAGGGUAUAUGAGUAGCUGUGCUCCCCUGCUAGAACAUCCAAACAAGCUCUCAAAUAAACAAACAACAAACAAAAUAAUAUCAACAUCAGCAAAAAUUAGUCUAUGU